Molecule: ribosomal RNA, 468 nt
Filed under: uncultured bacterium
Lineage: Bacteria
Description: bacterial SSU rRNA
Rfam family: Bacterial small subunit ribosomal RNA
Source: RNAcentral
GGGCCCGCACAAGCGGUGGAGCAUGUGGUUUAAUUCGACGCAACGCGAAGAACCUUACCAGGGCUUGACAUCCUCUGAAUCUUGAGGAAACUUGAGAGUGCCCUUCGGGGAGCAGAGAGACAGGUGGUGCAUGGUUGUCGUCAGCUCGUGUCGUGAGAUGUUGGGUUAAGUCCCGCAACGAGCGCAACCCCUGUAUUUAGUUGCUAGCAAGUAAAGUUGAGCACUCUAGAUAGACUGCCGGUGACAAACCGGAGGAAGGUGGGGAUGACGUCAAAUCAUCAUGCCCCUUAUGUUCUGGGCUACACACGUGCUACAAUGGCCGGUACAGACGGAAGCGAAGCCGCGAGGCGGAGCAAAUCUGAGAAAGCCGGUCUCAGUUCGGAUUGCAGGCUGCAACUCGCCUGCAUGAAGUCGGAAUCGCUAGUAAUCGCAGGUCAGCAUACUGCGGUGAAUACGUUCCCGGGCCUU